This is a small nuclear RNA of Bactrocera tryoni, 193 nucleotides long. RefSeq annotates it as U11 spliceosomal RNA. The record is from RefSeq and is a predicted model, not a curated record. Lineage: Eukaryota; Metazoa; Arthropoda; Insecta; Diptera; Tephritidae. The transcript has a single exon.
AAAAAGGUUGGACUAAGAACGUCCCUGCGUGCGGACGCAUUGCGGUAUCCACGUUCAACUUUAAAUAAAUGACGAGGCGAAUCGCUCCUAUUCUAUUCGAACGUUAUGGAUACUCCAGUGGGGUAUGGCUUCGCAUAUCCAGUGCAUAAUUUUUGUAAUAUGAUAUGCGAGCUGCCAAAGUGCAUUGAUUUUA